RNAcentral lists this ribosomal RNA (549 nucleotides) under uncultured bacterium. Its description in RNAcentral is "bacterial SSU rRNA". It matches the Rfam family "Bacterial small subunit ribosomal RNA", at positions 355 to 896 of the family's 1533-position model. The record is from RNAcentral.
UGGGGAAUUUUGGACAAUGGGCGCAAGCCUGAUCCAGCAAUGCCGCGUGAGUGAAGAAGGCCUUCGGGUUGUAAAGCUCUUUCAGUUGAGAAGAAAAAAUUCUGGCUAAUAUCUGGAAUUCAUGACGGUAUCAACAGAAGAAGCACCGGCUAACUACGUGCCAGCAGCCGCGGUAAUACGUAGGGUGCGAGCGUUAAUCGGAAUUACUGGGCGUAAAGGGUGCGCAGGUGGUUUUGUAAGUCAGAUGUGAAAUCCCCGGGCUUAACCUGGGAAUUGCGUUUGAAACUACAAGACUAGAGUGUGGCAGAGGGGGGUGGAAUUCCAUGUGUAGCAGUGAAAUGCGUAGAGAUAUGGAAGAACAUCGAUGGCGAAGGCAGCCCCCCUGGGUUAACACUGACACUCAGGCACGAAAGCGUGGGGAGCAAACAGGAUUAGAUACCCUGGUAGUCCACGCCCUAAACUAUGUCAACUAGUUGUUGGGUCUUAUUAGACUUGGUAACGAAGCUAACGCGUGAAGUUGACCGCCUGGGGAGUACGGUCGCAAGAUUA